UCACAGGCCAAAUCGAGUGUGC
This 22-nucleotide non-coding RNA is filed under the name Arabidopsis thaliana (thale cress). Lineage: Eukaryota; Viridiplantae; Streptophyta; Magnoliopsida; Brassicales; Brassicaceae. The record is from RNAcentral.